RNAcentral lists this ribosomal RNA (492 nucleotides) under Blastocystis sp. Its description in RNAcentral is "SSU rRNA". It matches the Rfam family "Eukaryotic small subunit ribosomal RNA", at positions 460 to 953 of the family's 1831-position model. The record is from RNAcentral. Lineage: Eukaryota; Bigyra; Opalinata; Blastocystidae.
GGAGGUAGUGACAAUAAAUCUCAAUACGAAGCCUUUGGUUUUGUAAUUGAAUUGAGAACAAUGUACAAUCGUUAUCGAUAAACAAUUGGAGGGCAAGUCUGGUGCCAGCAGCCGCGGUAAUUCCAGCUCCAAUAGCGUAUAUUAACGUUGUUGCAGUUAAAAAGCUCGUAGUUGAAGUUUAGAUGGUUUGAAGGGGGUGUUAGUAUCAAUGGUACUAUCUGCUCUCUUUGGAUUAUCGACUUCCAGGUAAGUAUAAUGAACCUUUCGGGGUUCGUUAUACCAGACUGGUCUUUUACUGUGAGAAAAUUAGAGUGUUUAAAGCAAACUAUUGAUGUUUGAAUAGAUUAGCAUGGAAUAAUAAGAUUGGCUUUCAUAGUCGAUUUUUUGGUUUGUUUAUGAAAGCAAGAUUAAUAGGGACAGUUGGGGGUAUUCAUAUUCAAUAGCUAGAGGUGAAAUUCUAUGAUUUAUGGAAGAUGAACAAGUGCGAAAGCA